UUUUUCCAGAGAACUUUCCGGGCUCGGAUUGGCCGCGCCGGUCGAUGUUCCGCCCUUUCAUUGGCCCGCGGCGCCCGCUUUCGCGAGCCUGCCCUUGGGCGGGGGCGGGGCCGGCGGCGGCGCGCGGCGCUAGAUUGGUUAGCGGCGCAGAGGGGCGGGCCCGCGCCGCGCGCAGCGCUCGGGCUGGAGCGCCUGAAGCCGCGACCGCCGCCUCAGCCGCCUCAGCCGCGGUCGCCGCCGCUUCUGCCGACUUAGGCUCCGCCGCCGCCUCCUCACCCGCCUCGCCCCGACCCCGCCCGGGCCUCCCGGCCUCUCCCCGCCGGCCCGUGGGCUCGCCGUCCGGCGCAGGGCAGGACUGUCUACGAGAGAGAAGCUCCCCACGUGGUUCCGUUUAACCUGACCAUGUAGACCAGCAGGAGCUGGAGGGCCAGUUGUUAGUGCACUUGGAGCCUACUGCACGAGCCUACCGCACGAGCCUACUGCACGCCUUUGUUCUUGUGCCAACAGUGCCCACUGCCCGGUAGUGCCUGUGUGUGCGGUGGCCGUGAUGGCACCACAAUGUCUGAAGCCACACAGUGCGUGGGUGACAUCUGUGGAAAGGACCUGGCACCGGCCAGCACACAGAGGCACUCACCUGUCUCACACAAUGCACUGUGGUCCCAAUUCUAGUUUUGUAAAACUACCUCGAGAUGACUCCUUUUAAAAUUAUCCUUAAGAUGUCUUUCUUUUUCUAAAGCUUAUUAAAGGUCAUUUUCAAAACGUUUUCAGCAGGAACUUGGUGUAUAUUUGCAGUUCUGCAUGGGAAACUAAUGUAGUCAUGAUGGCUGCUGAUGCUGAUGAAGUAGUACCAGCCACCCUGAUUUCAUAACUUCCAUAGAAUCACUCCCUUCUUCCUCCCAGUGCCCCUUUGAGAUAGGGAUUGUUAUUCCCUGAGGCUUGGCGAGGUGAAGUAACUCACUCAGGUUAUCUUGGUGCCAGUGGUGGGGCUGGGAUUUGAGCCAAGUCUUCCAACUUCACAAUAGCAGAGUAAGAAGAGCUGCCUUGUUGAUGGGACGUGGGUCGGAGCUCCCAGUGUGUCUUGCCUUCCUGGUGUGCUUGAUGGCAGCCCUGGGCUGCUGUGAGGUCCUGAGCACAGUGCAUCCUGAGGAGACAGUGCUGCGGGCCCCGCCUACUAACUUCCAGAGAUGUCAGCUGCAGCUGCAGCAGGGCAGCGCCCUGGUUAGAGAGACAGCAUGGGGAGUUGGCAGGGGGAGGCCCUCGGAGAGUUGGCAUGGGGAGUUGGCAGGGGGAGGCCCUCGGAGAGAUGGCAUGGAGGGGUUGGGGCCUGUGCUCCUAGGUGCUUAGGCUUGCAGGUGACUGGAAUCCUGACUAAUAUCGUAAGAGGAGAGUUCUUACUAACAAAUUACUUGAACAAAGACUUUGUUUGUUCCUUCAUUCGUUCAGCACAUGUUUACAGUGUGCCUGUGAUGUCCCAGGCGCACUGCCAGAAUCCUGACAUCCUUGCGGGGGGAUCGAAAACAUAAAUCUAGUCAGUGAGUUCAUCCUGUGGCAUGUCAGGGGGUGACAGUGGCUGUGGAGGAAACAGGGAAGGGCAGGGUGUGGGAGUCCUGGUGCUGCGUGAAUAGGCCAUCAGGUCAGCCCUGAGACACGGGGCAUCUGCGCGAGUCUUGCUGGAGGUGCACGUGUGAGCCCCUUGGUGCAGGAGGUGAGGAGCUGCAGGGCCAAGGGGGUUUGGAGCAGAAGCUCGGGUCUGACAUGCCUGGUGCAUCCAUGGGGCAGUGAGGAGGCUGCGGGGCAGGAGGUGAGAGUGCAGCUGGGGCACAUCAGGGGUCUCACAGGUCAUCCCGAGGCUGCUCUCAGUCCACGUGGCGUCGGGGCUGAGAGGAGCCCACAGCAGGGUGGGUGUGGGAGCAGGGAGCCAGCCAGUCUCUUCUCUGUGCUAGGUUAUUGUUGUGGCUUUAGCUAAAGCUGCUGUAAUACCUGUUUCUUAGAGGAAUCCAAAUCCCUGUUGCCUUGGGGCCAACUUUGUAAUCUUACAAAUCUGGAUCUAAUUUUCACCAAACUCUCAAGGGAAGAGCCUCUGGGACUCAGACAGAUAAACAACACCUGUUAUGUGCUGUUCCCAUUUUCUCUUCGACUUUGGUGUUGUCCAAAUUCUUCUGAGCCUAACUGUAGGCUCUUCAGACCCAGCCUACAGUUCUGGAAAUAAACCAGCGUGCUGGGGUGGGGCGAGCCCAACCAUGCAAGCCAUGCCCCGGCAGCCAGGCUGAGAGGCAGAGCAAGCAGUGCAGGUGGACCCAUCGCCUGCCAGCAUGUGGGUUCUGGAGGCUGCAGCAGGCAGAUUCUGGAAAUUCCCUGAGGCCUUCGUUCAGUACAGACAGGGAACUUUUAUAGGUACCUGUGGCCUCUUCUGCUGGUGGGAAUGGAGGUGCCAUGAGCACUGAGCUGGUUGGAACAGAAGGGCUCUCCUCUCGUGGGCUGUGUCGAGUGAGUCCUGCAGCUUCCUGCUGUGAGAUUCUGGGGUGCCAUGAUGAAGCAGAGCGGAGCUCAUCUGAGUGGAUGUUUCCCAGGGGAGCCAGUAGUUUUGGAAGCACUUGGUUUUUCCAUUCCCAUGUCUUGGAGGACUCUUCCCCCUUCCUGAGAGAGAGCGAUGAAUGUAGGCCUCCAUGGAGAAGCACAGGUGCCUUCCCCGGGCUGUGUGUGGUCCGUGCAGACCUCUCAGGUCCACUUCAUUUUGCAGGUAAGGACCCAUCUCCCAUAGCUGGUUAGUGCCAGAGCCCACUCCUAGCCCCAUGUAGGGGCUGUUUUUCAGCUACAGCAAGAUCAGGAAAUAAGAAGUAGUAAUGAACACUUCAUUGAAGAUUUUUAUUUACUUUGAGGUCUUUUAUUUCUUGUAAUACUGAAUUGGUUAUUUGCUUCUUAGAGUUUUUUUUUUUUUUUUGAGACAGUCUAGCUCUGUCGCCCAGGCUGGAGUGCAGUGGUGCCAUCUUGGCUCACUUCAAGCUCCGCCUCCCGGGUUCACGCCAUUCUCCUACCUCAGCCUUCUGAGUAGCUGGGACUACAGACGCCCGCCACCACGCCCAGCUAAUUUUUUGUAUUUUUAGUAGAGACGGGGUUUCACCGUGUUCGCCAGGAUGGUCUUGAUCUCCUGACCUCGUGAUCCACCCGCCUCGGCCUCCCAAAGUGCUUGGGAUUCCAGUCGUGAGCCACUGCGCCUGGCCUAGAGUUUUUUGCUUUCUUUAAGAUAACAAUUUUCCUUAUAGAACUGAAAAAUAUGAAAAAGAAUUUAAAAAUUCACCUAUGCUUAGCCUUAGUGCAGAGAGCAGCUGAAGGGUAUCAGGGGAUUGUCCUCACCCCUUCCUGUCCUUGGCCCCCUGGGUAGCCCCCCCAUCUUCAUCAGCCCACCCCUUCCUGUCCAUUGUCCUCUGGGUGGCCCUUCGCGGUGGAACCCCCAGCUUCAUCAGCACCCUCCGCAUUUCCUCUGGGUGGCCCCCCAUCUUCAUU
Molecule: long non-coding RNA, 3504 nt
Organism: Pan troglodytes (chimpanzee)
Lineage: Eukaryota; Metazoa; Chordata; Mammalia; Primates; Hominidae
Source: Ensembl